Bombus terrestris (buff-tailed bumblebee) is the source of this 2133-nucleotide long non-coding RNA. RefSeq lists it as uncharacterized. The record is from RefSeq and is a predicted model, not a curated record. The transcript is spliced from 2 exons. Lineage: Eukaryota; Metazoa; Arthropoda; Insecta; Hymenoptera; Apidae.
AUUUGGUAUUAGUAUAUUAUUUUAAGUAAAAUUUUGUAUCUAUAGUAUAUCUAUGGCAUGGUAUUUUAGUAUUAUAAUACCAUCCAUGGUAUACUGAACAAAUAAAUAACAAUGGUUCAGUACAAUAUUAGAAGUAUAUUAGUACUUUAGCAUUAAGUAUGUUUUUUGUUAAUUAUUCCUAAAGAACUGGGAUGAUAGUCCCACAGAAAAAUUGUAGAGUGUGCCAAGUUAUUUCCAUCACUAGCACCCCCUGAAACACCCCUGCCAAAUGAUACACCACUGAAGCUUCACCAUGCUUCCCCUCCACAAACCAAUAAAACCCGGUAGUGUACUAUCUCCAGGGGCACCCUGUUCCCUAAAAUAUUCUACAAAUCUCCAGCACAAAUAAAUAGCGGCCUGCGAACAUUAGAAAGCACUAUUUGAAGCAUUCAGCUGAGAAGAUCUAUAUGACUUUCUAUUCUUCCUCUAUUUUUCCACUCAACGUAAUUAUUCGUAAUCACACAUAAGUACACAUAUAAUUGCCUAUUAUUAUAGCAGCUAUUACUACACAAAGGGAGUAGUUUAAUAUCUCGUAUGCAAUGUGGUACCUUCCCAGAAUUAAUUAAUUACUAAAGUCGUCUCGGAGAAGUCCCUUUUCAAAGAGAUAAUUCCAACGGCCAGAUCCACCAGUUGCUGUAAACGACCAUCCAGUCUGAGGAACCUCUUCUAAAUAGGAACCUGUAAACGACCCGAUAUUUGCAUGACUAAACCGGUACCAUGAUGAAAUUUACUUUUAAAAUAGCUGAACGUUGUGAUUGUCAGCGUUUGCAGACGAUCCUCCCUUGGAGUACGAAUUUUAUCCUGGCCCAAAAUUCACCCGCUCCCCCGACGAUUAUCGAUUGACCAAACUUUCACAAUCCCUUUAAACUUAAACUGUUGAAAUAUUCACACGGUGUCUCUUCGAUGUUGUUCGAGACAGAACGACUGCAUUGAAGUAAUUAAAUUCUAAGAAUCGAGCUUGCCAGAUCAUCGAUAGAAAAUUCAGAUAAUUAAGAUGGAAAAUUUGAAACAAAAGAGAUCGAUCAAGUUCCUCAACCCCUUUGCCAACAGCAUAGAAAAAUUCUACAGUGAUCUAAACUCGAUUAUUUUGGGAUUUUUGACUUGGAAAAUUGUUCAAUUUCCAUAUUUCAGGAUUUUCAUAUUUCCAAUUUCUAAACUUGGACAUUUCCACAUUUCCAAUCUCCAGACCUGGAAAUUUUCAAACUUCCAUUUCCCAGACUCAAGGAAUUCAAAUUUCCAAUUUUCUAAUCUCCAGAUUUUGAAAUCUCCAACUUGCAGGCCUGGGUAUUUCUGAAUUUCCAAUUCUUCAAUUUCUGUAGCCAAAAAUCUCCAAAAAUUUUCUAUUUCCAGAUGCAAAAAGCGGACUCCCUAAAAUUGCUUAAUAUUACUCACAUUGACUAGCUUGGACCCAACAAUAAAUUGCUGGCUAAGUAAUUUGUAACUAACUGUUUAAGAUACAAAUAAUACAAUAGUGGUAUGGAACCCAAAAAACAGUACGUGUCUGUGGCAUCCCCAGAAAAGCGGCAGCUUAUCCCCGUCGAGCAAGCCACCCCUGCCGCAUCGUGGCUUCAAGAGCACCCCCGGCUCAAUAGUGUACGCAGACGUGCUAUCUAGAUACGUCUAUCUAGAGACCGUGUCUGCCUUCCUGGCUCUGGUUAAAUGGACAAAACUUGUUUUGAUCUGUGAGCCUAUAAGACUAGUGACUGAAGCUAACUGAUCUUGCUACGGGGCUCUGCAAAAGUAGAUUUGAAUGCUCUGUAGACUUUCAUAGAGAAAGACCCAUAAACGUUGGGAACGUAGAACGUGAAAGCGAGACAUCGUUCGAUCGAUAGAUCUCGACGUGAUAAUUAUAGUAAAUGCAUUGAAUUAUUCGGUCCCGGAGGAUUCCAAGUCGAGUACUGAGAAAACUAUGCGAGGCGAAACGUAACCUGUCCGUCCUGUGCCAACUUUCACUCCAAGCGUGACGAUCCCAACAGUGCCGUAAAGAAACCAGGGGAGGGCGAUUCUAGGAAAACUGAGAAUCCCAAAUGUUGCCCGAUAAAAAUUCACGGCCUCGUAAAAGCAACUAAUCAAGAACGGUAAGUAAAACGAGGA